Non-coding RNA from Acanthosepion pharaonis, 114 nucleotides. The record is from the annotation of a GenBank genome assembly. Lineage: Eukaryota; Metazoa; Mollusca; Cephalopoda; Sepiida; Sepiidae.
UUACGGCUAUAUCACGUUGAAACACAGAUUUUCGUAAGAUUAUCGAAGUUAAGCAACGUCGUGCUUGGUCAGUACCUAGAUGAGUGACGGCUUGGGAAUUCCAUGUGAUGUAAG